This 433-nucleotide ribosomal RNA is filed under the name uncultured bacterium. RNAcentral's name for it is "partial 16S ribosomal RNA". It matches the Rfam family "Bacterial small subunit ribosomal RNA", at positions 29 to 507 of the family's 1533-position model. The record is from RNAcentral.
AACGAACGCUGGCGGCAUGCCUAACACAUGCAAGUCGAACGAGACCUUCGGGUCUAGUGGCGCACGGGUGCGUAACGCGUGGGAACCUGCCCUUAGGCUCGGAAUAACUCCCCGAAAGGGGUGCUAAUACCGGAUAAUGUCUUCGGACCAAAGAUUUAUCGCCUUUGGAUGGGCCCGCGUUGGAUUAGCUAGUUGGUAGGGUAAAAGCCUACCAAGGCGACGAUCCAUAGCUGGUCUGAGAGGAUGAUCAGCCACACUGGGACUGAGACACGGCCCAGACUCCUACGGGAGGCAGCAGUGGAGAAUAUUGGACAAUGGGCGAAAGCCUGAUCCAGCAAUGCCGCGUGAGUGAUGAAGGCCUUAGGGUUGUAAAGCUCUUUUACCCGGGAUGAUAAUGACAGUACCGGGAGAAUAAGCUCCGGCUAACUCCGUG